UGCGUAGGCGGAAUGAUAAGUUAGUGGUGAAAGCCUCCGGCUCAACCGGAGAACUGCCAUUAAUACUGCCAUUCUUGAGUAUAGUUGAAGUGGGCGGAAUGUAUCAUGUAGCGGUGAAAUGCUUAGAUAUGAUACAGAACACCAAUAGCGUAGGCAGCUUGCUAAACUAUAACUGACGCUCAGGCACGAAAGCGUGGGGAGCAAACAGGAUUAGAUACCCUGGUAGUCC
RNAcentral lists this ribosomal RNA (229 nucleotides) under uncultured bacterium. Its description in RNAcentral is "partial 16S ribosomal RNA". It matches the Rfam family "Bacterial small subunit ribosomal RNA", at positions 568 to 796 of the family's 1533-position model. The record is from RNAcentral.